UGAACAUCCCAGAGCCACCGG
Molecule: microRNA, 21 nt
Filed under: Triticum aestivum (bread wheat)
Lineage: Eukaryota; Viridiplantae; Streptophyta; Magnoliopsida; Poales; Poaceae
Description: tae-miR9662b-3p
Source: miRBase by way of RNAcentral